CAGGCUUGACAUCCUAGGGACAGCUCCAGAGAUGGGGUCUUCCUUCGGGACUCUAGGAC
Molecule: ribosomal RNA, 59 nt
Filed under: uncultured bacterium
Lineage: Bacteria
Description: partial 16S ribosomal RNA
Source: RNAcentral